GCAUACAACUUUUUUUGUUGGUUUGUGUGUGUGUGUGUAUGAGAAAGAGAGAGAGAGAGAGAGAGAGAGAGAGAGAGAGAGAGUUACCUCACUUAGGAUAAUAAUUUCUAGUUCCAUCCAUUUGCCUAUGAAUUUCACAAUUUCAUUGUUUUUAAGAGCUAUGUAGUAGUCCAUUGUGUAGAUGUACCACAAUUUCUGUAUACAUUCCUCUGAUGAAGGGCAUCUGGUUUCUUUCCAGAUUCUGGCUAUUGUAAAUAAGGCUGCUAUGAACAUAGUGGAGCAUCUGCCUUUGUUGUGUAUUAGAGCAUCAUUUGGUAUAUGGCCAGGAGUGGUACAAUUGUGUCCUCAGGUAGCACAAUGCCCAAUUUUCUGAGGAACCUCCAGACUGUUUUCCAGAGUGACUGUAUUAGCCUGCAAUUCCACCAACAAUGGAGGAGUAUUCCUUUUUCUCCAUAUCCUCCCUAGCAUCUAUUUUCACCUUAGAUUUUGAUCUUAGCCUUAUGAAUGGUGUGAGAUGGAAUCUCGGGGUUUUUUGUUUGUUUGUUUUGUUUUGUUUGAUUUGCAUUUCACUGAUGACUAAGCAUGUUUAACAUUACUUUAGUUCUCAGCCAUUUGAUAUUCCUCAGCUGAGAACUCUUUGUUUAGCUCUGUAGCACAUUUUUAAAUAUGAUUAUUAGGCUCUCUGGCAUCUAACUUCUUGAGUUCUUUGUAUAUUUUGGAUAUUAGCCCUCUAUAGGACAUAGGAUUGGUAAAGAUCUUUUUCCUAUCUGUUGGUUGCUGUUUUGUCCUAAUGACAGUGUCCUUUGCAGUUUGUUGAAAUCCCAUUCAUCAAUUCUUGAUCUUAGAGAAAAAUAAAUUGGUGUUUUCUUCAGGAAAUUUUCCCCAGUGCCCAUGUGUUCGAGGCUCUUCCUCACUUUUUCUUCUAUUACUUUGAAUGUAUCUGGUUUAAUGUAGAGUUUCUUGAUCCACUUAGACCUGAGCUUUGUACUGGGCCAUAAGAAUGGAUCGAUCUGCAUUCUUCUACAUACUGACCUCCAGUUGACCAGCGCCAUUUGUUGAAAAUGCUAUUUUUUUUUCUGCUGGUAGGUUUUAGCUCAUAUCAAAUGGCCAUAGGUUUGUGGGUUCAUUUCUGGGUCUUCAAUUGUAUUCCUUGGAUCUACCUGCCUGUCACUGUACCAAUACCAUACAGUUUUUAUCACUGUUGCUCUGUAAUACUGCUUGAGGUCAGGAAUGAUGACUCCUCCAGAAGUUCUUUCACUGUUGAGGAUAGUUUUCGCUAUCGUGUGUUUUUUGUUAUUCCAAAUAAAAUUGCAAAUUGCUCUUUCUAACUCUAUGAUGAAGUGAGUUUGAUUUUGAUGGAAAUUGCAUUGAAUCUGCAGAUUCUUUUUUGCAAAAUGGCCACUUUUACUAUAUUAUUCCUGCCAAUCCAUGAGCAUGGGAGGUCUUUCCAUCUUCUGAGAUCUUCUUCAAUUUCUUUCUUCAGAGACUUGAAAGUUCUUGUCAUACAGAUCUGUCACUUGCUUGGUUAGAGUCACACCGAGGUACUUUAUGUUAUUUGGGACUAUUGUGUAGGGUGUCAUUUCCCUAAUUUCUUUCUCAGUCUGUUUAUCCUUUGAGUAGAGGAAAGGUACUGAUUUGUUUGAGUUAAUUUAAUACCCAGCCACUAUCCUGAAGUUCAUUACCAGGUUUAAUAGUACUAUGGUAAAACUUUUGGGGUCAUUUAAAUAUACUAUCAUAUCAUCUGCAAAUAGUGUUAUUUUGACUGUUUCCUUUCCAAUUUGUAUUCCUUUGUCUUUCUUUUUUUGUCUAAUUGAUCUGGCUAGGACUUGAACUCUAUAUUAAAUAGGCAGAGAGAGAGAGAGAGAGAGAGAGUGGGAAGCCUUAUCCACCCCCGGAUUUUAGUGGAUUGCUGUAAGUUUCUCUUCAUUUGAAUUGAUGUUGGCUACUUGUUUGCUAUAUAUUGCUUUUACUAUGUUAAGGCCUUGAAUUGCUGAUCAUUCCAAGACUUUUAACAUGAAGGGGUGUUGAAUUUUGUCAAAUGCUUUCUAAACAUCUAAUGCGAUGAUCACGAGGUUUUUUCUUUCAGUUUGUUUACAUAGUAGAUGACAUUGAUGGCUUUCCAUAUAUUGAACCAUUCCUGCAUCCAUGGGAUGAAACCUACUUGAUCAUUAAGGAUGAUCAUUUUGAUAUGUUGUUAGGUUCAGUUUGUGAGAAUUUUAUUGAGUGUGUUUGCGUCAAUAUUUGUAAGGGAAAUUUUUCUGAAGUUUGCUUUUUUUGUUGGGUCUUCGUGUGGUUUAGGUAUAAGUGUUAUUGUGGCUUCAUAGAAGGAAUUGGAUAGUGCUCUGUCUGUUUCUAUUUUGUGGAAUAGUUUGGGCAAUAUUGGUUUGGGAUCUUCUAUGAAGGUCUGAUGUAAUUCUGGAUUAAAACCACCUGGUCCUAGACUUUUAUUGGUUGGGAGAUUUUUAAUAACUGUUUCUAUUUCUUUAGGAGUUAUGUGGUUGUUUAGAUGGUUUAAUUGAUCCUGAUUUAACUUUGGUACCUAGUAUCUGUCUAGAAAAUUGUCCAUUUCAUCAAUAUUUUCUAGUUUGGUUGAAUAUAGGCUUUUGAAGUAGGAUCUGAUGAUUUCUAGAAUUUCCUUAGAGUCUGUUAUGUCUCCCUUUUCAUUUCUGAUUUUGUUAAUUUGGAUAAGCUCUCUGCACUCUCUGCUUAGUCUGGCAAAAGUCUGAUUUUUCUCAAAGAAUUAGCUUCUGGUUUUGUUGAUUCUUUAUAUAGUUCCUUCUGUUUCUACUUGGUCAGUUUCAGCCCUGAGUUUGAUUACUUUCUGUUGUCUCUUUCUCUUGAUUAUAUUUACUCCUGUCUGUUCUAGAGCAUUUGGGUAUGCUGUCAAGCUGCUGAACUAUGUUCUCUCCAGAUUUUUUUUCAUAAGCACUGAUAGCUAUGAGUUUUCCUGUUAGCACUCCUUUCAUUGUGUCCCAUAAAUUUGGGUAUGUUGUACCUUCAUGUUCAUUAAGUUCUAAAAAGUCUUUAAUUUCUUACAUUAUUUCUUCCUUGACCAAGUUAUCAUUGAGUAGAGUGUUGUUUGACUUCCAUGUAUAUGUGGGCUUUCUAUCAUUUUGGUGUUAUUGAAGACAACCCUUAUUCCUUGGUGAUCUGAUAGGAUGCAUAGGAUUAUUUCCAUCUUCUUGUAUCUGUUUAGACAAAUAUGGUCAGUUUUGGAGAAGGUACAUGAGGUUCUGAAAAGAAGGUAUAUUUUGUUUCAGGAUGAAAUGUUCUAUAAAUAUCUGUUAAAUCCAUUUGGCUCAUAACUUCUGUUAGUUUCUGUAUGUCUCUGUUUAGUUUCUGUUUCCAUGAUCUGUCCAUUGAUGCAAGUGGGGUGUAGAAAUCUCCCAUCAUUAUUAUGUUAGAUGCAAUGUAUACUUUGAGCUUUAGUAAGAAGUCUCUUGUGAAUGUACUUUCCUUACAUUUGGAGCAUAGCUAUUCAGGAUUGAAAGUUCAUUUUGGUGGAUUUUUCCUUUGCUGGAGACAAAGUGUAGUUCCUUAUCUUUUUUGAUAACGUUUGGUUGAAAGUUGAUUUUAUUUGGUAUUAGAAUGUGUACUCCAGCUUGUUUCUUCAGAGCAUUUGCUUGGGCAAGUAUUUUCCAACCUUUUACCCUGAGAUAGUGUCUGUCUUUGUAACUGAGGUGUGUCUCCUGUAUGCAGAAAAAUGCUGUGUCCUCUUUACAUAUCCAGUCUGUUAGUCUAUGUCUUUUUAUUGGGGAAUAGAAUCCACUGAUGUUAAGCGAUAUUAAAGAAUAGUGAUUGUUGCUUCCUGUUAAUUUUGUUGUUAGAGGUGGAUUUAUGCUUUUGUGUUUCUCUUCUUUUGGUUCUGUUGCAAGGAGAUUACUUUCUUGCUUUUUCUAGGGUGUAGUUUACUCCUUGUGUUGAAGUCUUCCAUCUAUUAUCCUUUGUGGGGCUAGAUUUGUGGAAAGAUAUUGUGUAUUUUUUGUUUUGUUAUGGAAUAUCUUGGUUUCUCCAUUAAUGAUAAUUAAGAGUUUUUCUGGAUAUAGUAGCCUUGGCUUGCAUUUGUGUUCUCUUAUGGUCUGUAUGACAUCUGCCCAGGAUCUUCUGGCUCUCAUAGUCUCAGGUGAGAAGUCUGGUAUAUUUUCAUAGGUCUGCCUUUGUAUGUUACUUGACCUUUUUCCCUUACUGCUUUUAAUAUUCUUUCUUUGUUUUGUUCGUUUGGUGUUUUGAUUAUUAUGUGACAGGAGAAAUUUCUUUUCUGGUCCAAUCUGUUUGGAGUUCUGUAGACUUCUUGUAUGUUUAUGAGCAUAUCUUUCUUUAAAUUAGUGAUAUUUUCUUCUAUAAUUUUGUUGAAGUUAUUAGCUGGCCCUUUAAGUUGGCUCUUUGUUCUCUUUUAUACCUAUUAUACUUAGGUUUGACCUCACUGUGUCCUGGAUUUCCUGCAUAUUUUGGAUUAGGAGGUUUUUGCUGUUUUACAUAAUCUUCUGUGUUAUCUUCUGCCCCUGAGAUUUUUUCUUCUGUCUUUUGUGUUAUGUUGGUGAUGCUUGAGUCUAUGACUCCUGAUGUCUUUCUUAGGUUUUAUAUCUCCAGGGUUAUCUCCCUUUGUGCUUUCUUUAUUGUUUCUAUUUCCAUUUUUAAAUCCUCAAUGCGUUUUUUUCAAUUCCUUCAUCUAUUUGGUUUUAUUUUCCUGUAAUUCUUAAACAGAUUUUUCUGUUUCCUCUUUAAGGGCUUUUACUUGUUUACCUGUGUAGUCCUGUAUUUCUUUAAAAGAGUUAUUUAUGUCCUUCUUAAAGUCCUCUAUCAUCAUCAUAGUCCUCAAACACAUCAUCAUGUGUUUUUAAAUCCAAAUCUUGCUUUCCUGGUGUGUUUGGACUUCUAGUAUUUGCUUUGGUGGGAGAACUGGGCUCUGAUGAUGCCAAGUAGUCUUGGUUUUUGUUGUUGAGAUUCCUGUGCUUGCCUUUUGCCAUCAGGUUGUCUCUCGAAUUAGCUUUUCUUCCUCUCUCUGAAGUGGCAUGACCUUCCUGCAAGCUUGUGUGUUAGCAAUCCUGUAGACCUGCUUUCUUUCAGCUUGAUUUGGAAAUAUGUGUUUGUGUCUCCUGAAGCCUCCAGUUUUUUGCAAGAUGCUUAAGCUGUGAUAUUCAGCUUCUCGUCUGAACAUAAAAUAAUGCAACCUUAUACAGAUUCUGCUCCACACAUCUUCCCGUUCUUCUCUGAGAAAGGUGAACCCCCACUUGAUAGUAUCCAGCUGAUUCCAACUUAUAGUGAAAUAAGUAGAACAAAUCCCAGUGUUAUACUUUCAAUGAUUUUUUAAAGAAGAAUUUGUCAUCAACACAAAUUGUGAAAUUCAACAGAUUCAAGGGCCACUGUCAUCAAGACUGCCACCCCAUCAUAUUCAUUAUUAACAAGAACCAACUGAUGUGCUCUGUAUUCUAUCCUGCAUCAUAAUCUUGGGUAACUACAUGCUAAAAUUCAUCUUGAAUAUGUUUAAAUCAUCCCCACUGAAAAUCAUGCAUGUGUUGUAUUUGUUUUAUAUUUUUUAAGCAGACAAUAAUUUAAGGGAAUAAAAAUCGACAGACUUGAGAGAUGGUUUGGGAAAGACUAUGAAAUUAAAUCAUGAGUGUCUGAGUUCAGAUGACUUCAUCCAUGCAGAUAGCCAGCCAUAUUGAUAUGUUAGCCCCAGCACUGUGGUGAGUAGAAACAGAAUAGCUGGGGUUUGAUUGUUUUCACUGUAACUGGGUAUUCUGAAACAGCUUUGUCAAGGAAAUAAGGUAGACAUUGGGAUAACAGGACACUCAACAUUCUCCUCAUAGCUCUUUAGCAAGCAGGCAUAACCAUUAGCACACACUUGCAGUUAUGUGACACACUGAUACACAUUUACAUACAGACAAAAAGACCUUCCGUGAACUUAACACCUUUUUGCUCAGAUGAUAGGGUCAAAAAUAAAGAUAGGACACUUGAAUGUGAAUUAUUUAGAAGUACUGCCCUCAAAGAAGAAAGCAGGUCAAAAAAUCAAUGAUAGACCUCUGACAUCACAUGAUAAUCCCCAAAAUGAACAUUUUUCCACUUAUUUUUUUUUCCAUCCUCAAUUGAGUCAGUAUAAUUUUUCUAAGUGUCUCCUUCUAAAAUCCUAUGGACUGGGUUACUAAUGAUGAAUUCUGAUUUUAGCACUUUUAUUUGCAUAAAAUGUACUGUUUAAUUCAGCUCAGUUUGGGUAAUUUUUCUGUUAAAAGAAAGUAAGAUUUAAUACAACAUAAAGUAAUGAAGAUUAAAUGAUGUUGCACAUGUAAAGCAGUCACUGGUAUGAUAGUCACUCUCAGGGCAAAUCAUCAGGAACUCCAUGCAGACCCGAAGUAUCAAGACCUUUAAGAGCAGUCAAGUAUUCUUAAUGUUCACUGCAUUUCCUCUUUUCUCCCUCAUAUGAUGUUAUUUUAAAAUGCCUACAGCACGGGAACAUAAAUUCCCUGGGAAGGGUCAUAACUACUUAUUACAAUUCAAAAAGAUAUUGUCAGAAGUUCAGAACGUUCAGACCUAAGGGAUACAAGUAUACCACACAACUCCUUUUGAGGUGCAUGGAUCAUGAGAGAAGAUGGAGUAGAAAGAAUAUGAAUGAGAAGUUGAAGAGGACCCCUAAGGAACCAACAUAUUCUGGAUACAGGAAGGAAGCUGCACAUAUAGACCCCAUGCUGUUGUCACAAUACACACAAAAUCCAGGCUGCCCCACACUAGACAAAGUCCUAGAACGAAGAGGAGAGAGGGAUACAAGUUUCUACGAGAUGAGGACCUACUGGCAAUUGAUAACUGUUGGGAGAGGGAAACCCAGGUUUCUCAAAGCAAGUGGACGCUGGUGAGUUAAGAGUAUUCCACUGCACGAAUAUGAAGCGGAAAGCAGUCUUGAUUAGAUUUGUAAAAUAAAGAAAUAGGAAACACCUGGGAUAAGCAAGGAAAGGACUUAAAUCAAGAAAGAAUGGGAGAGAGAAUAAUUACGCGAUCAAAGCAGUGCAUGAAAAUUUCACAUAACUAGCCAAAGCAUUCCUUUAAUAUUGGAAAUGGUUUAAACUGAGCCAGAAUUUUAACUUUGUAUUAUUUAGUGGACAUUCAUUUUCUUAAACGAUUAGGAUACUGAAACUCAGAUAAUUUCCACUUUCCCUAUUCACCAGGAGCUAUUUCAAUCAAGUGUUCAAAUUGAACGCAGAACGCUAUAAUUGUUAAAUGAUUAUCACUGUAAAAUUAUUAAGAAUAUUUCCUUAAAUUCUUUGAUAACUAAUUGAAGCUUGUAGAAUUUACUUUGAAUUCUCUUUCUUAUCUAAAAUUUUAAAACUUGUAUAUUAAUGAAAGUGCAUUUUUUUUGAACUCUCAACAUAUAAAUUUAUUUUUGAGAUAAAUGUUAUCAUCGCCAAAGUAAAAUACUGAUUUAGCACAUUUUAGUCUAUCUUGUUUCUUACAUAGAGGAGUGAUCAGCAAGAACACUGCUAAUAUCUUGCUAAGCCUGAGUUAUAAUGCAUGACAGAAACUGCCAGCUUAUAUAAUAUGCUUGUUUUCUUUUGCAACAGAAAAUGUAAUACCAAAUAAUAACAAGUAUAAAAUUUAAAAUAAAACUUAAAACAAGAUAAUACAACAGAAAACUUAAUACAAAAGGGUAAGAACUGAUUGUAUCUAUUAUUAAAACAACAUGUAAAGACAAAGCCCAGAUCAAACCAAAACAAAUUGACUUAUUCAAAGGGGUCAACACUGAUAACUGGUACUGUAAUGGAACAGUGAAAAUCCAACUGUGGUCAGUGGGCCAAUGACAAAGCAUACUGUUUAACAAUCUACAAUGAGGUAAACAUGGAGAGUGUGCAUUCGAAAAUGUAACAAAUUCAAUGAUUUAAAACUAUGAUCCUAUUUAUUGAAAAAUAUCAGAAAACUGGGCUCCUUUUUCAUGGUUUGGGUUAAAAAUGUACUUAAUUAAAAAGUUAGUCAAAAAUUCACUGGACAUUUUUCAAAAAUUGUUUUUUUUACCAAAACAACUUGAGGAAAUAUCUCUUCAAGAAAUAUGAUUUAAAAUGUUAAAGCUGGAUUCUCAUUAAUCAUUUUUACACGUACAAGGGCUAAAGUUUCUGUAAUGUUCUCUUCCAAGUUUAUCACAUACAGAUCAUGUAAUUUCUUUGCUAGAAAAAUUACCAGAUCGAUCAUGUGGAGACUACAUCAAUACUUAUAAUAUUAAUAUUUUGUCAACUAGGCUUACAUGGAAUACCAGGAGAGAAGGGAGAUCCAGGACCUCCUGGGCUUGAUGUUCCAGGACUCCCUGGAGAGAGAGGUAGUCCAGGGCUCCCUGGAGCCCCUGGUCUUAUAGGACCUCCAGGAUCACCUGGUAUCCCUGGAAGAGCAGGUGUCCCUGGAUUUCCAGGUUUUUUUAAAGUAUGUUCCAGCUAUUGUCAAGAAAACAGCUACAAACAUGUCAAAAAUGUCCACCUUUUUAUUGUUUCUGCUUCAGUCUGGGAACAUUCAACUCUACCUGGUUCAACUUAGCUAUUCCAGCUAUUCUGUUGCAGCCCAGUGCUAGUAGCAGCAGUAGUGAAUAACCAAGGGAGGUGGCCAGAAGCAGGAGCUGGAGCCACCAAGGGAGUAGCAGGAUGUGGCUAUGAUGUUCAUUGAAAGGCACCUGGGAGCAGUGUUAACAAGAAGCUGUGGUGAGAGCAAUAGCAAGCUUGCUUGGCGUUGGGUGGAGCUGAGGUCCCACAAUGCCUGCUUCAGGAGAGAAAACACUUUCCCAUAGUGUGAAAGCUAAAUAAAUCAGCCAUGCUGAAAUGAUUCUUGGUGUAAUAACUUGUGCACUCUAUUCAAUAUGGAUAAGGGCAUUAUAAAUGUUUUGGGUAUAAGAUAGGGUACAGGGAUAAAUGCUUCCCAUUGGCUCAGUCUGAGAUGUUAGGGAUGCUUUAUUGGCAUGGGGUGUUGUCCUUACAUGACGGCCAUGGCCCUUUCCACAGGGUGUCAUGAUUAUCUGUUCAAGGACAGGCCUGCUGUUCUCAAGUAUAAGACUUAUAUAAUUAUAAUAUUAUGUUACAUAAGACUUAUAUAAUUAUAAAACAAUUACAAGUUUUUAAACUAGUUUCAAUCUUACUAGUUCUUCUUUCUGAUGGCAAGAUCCACUUGGCCCACAUAUAGCCUCAAAAUAUUUUACUGAUCCACAUGCAGUAGUGUCAUGUCCGCCCUUACAACAAUAUAUACUAACCGCACAAGGCCGAGGUCUAUCUUACAAUCUUUUCUCAAGUGACCUCAUCUUCCUCACUUAAAACAAAGAUUUUGAUAUCUAGAAUUAUUGGCUAUUGCUUGUCCAGUUACUUAAUGAUUAGGGUCAAUAUCAACAGGAGUUUUAAUCCAUGCAUCCAUAGGUGCUGAUUGAGUUUUUAAAAGUCUAAGAGAGUUUUAACACUUUCCAUUUGUAUUUUUGAAGGAAUAGUGUCAAUUUAUAUCUAUGCACAUCUGAAUCUGACAUUGCUCUGUUUAUAGUAGAUGUUAAUCUAUGUGAGAAACCUGUAAAAGUUUCUCUGAGGCUUUGUAAAAUCUUUGUGAAUGACAGAGAUAUUUUCCUUGUCCCUCCACCUUAUCUUAGGUUAUUAAAGCUACUAAAAAAACAUUGUGUAAUAAUAGACAUUGACACAACCAUGAAUGAAAAUGUAAAAUGCAAAAAUCUAAGCCAACACAUCCAAUAAAUCCAGGAAAAAAAUGAGAAAAUAAAAGCUAAGGAUAAAGUGUAUAGAAUAGAGUGAAAAUUCCAAAUUUAAAGGAGCAGUAAAUAUCUUCAAAAAUUAUAGAAGAAAACUUCCAUAACCCAAAAAAAGAGAUGCCCAUAAACAUGCAAGAAGCAUAUAGAACUCCAUAAAGAUUGGAUGAGAAUAGAAAUUUCUCCUGUCACAUAAUAGUUAAAACAACAAAUGCACAAAACAAAGAAAGACUAUUAAGAGCAGUAAGGGAAAAAGGUCAAGUAAUAUGUAAAGGCAGAAGUAUCAAAUUAUACCAGACUUCUCAACAGAGACUAUGAAAGCUGAAAGAAACUGGUCAGAUGUGAUGCAGACCCUAAGAGAACACAAAUGCCACCCCAUGGUUCUACAUCCAACAAAACGCUUAAUGAACAUAGAUGGAUAAAUGAAGAUAUUCCAUGACAAAACCAAAUUUACACAAUAUAUUUCCACAAAUCCAGCCCUACAAAGGAUAAUAGAUGGAAAACUCCAACACAAGGAGGGAAAUGACACCGGAAAAAAGCAAGAAAAUAAUCUAUUUUCAACUUGCCCAACAGAACAUGGGCACACGAACAUAAUUCCACCUCUAACAAAAAUAACAGGAAACAACAAUCACUGUUCCUUAAUUUCUCUUAAUAUCAGUGGUCUUAAUUCCCUAAUAAAAAGACAUAAACUAACAGACUGGAUCCAUAACGUGAACCCAUCAUUCCGAUACAUAUGGGAAACACAUCUCAGUGACAAAGAUAGCAACUACCUCAGAGUAAAAAGCUGGAAAACAAUUUUCCAAGCAAAUGGUCCCAAGGUACAUGCUGGAGGAACCAUUCUAAUAAUGAAUAAAAUUGACUUUCAACCAAAAAAAAAAAGAUAAGGAAGAACACUUCAUAUUCAUCAAAGGAAAAAUCCAACAAGGUGAUUGCUCAAUCCUGAAUAUCUAUGCUCCAAAUGCAAGUGUAUCUAUAUUCAUAGAAGACACAUUACUAGAGCUCAAUGCACACAUUGUACCUCACACAAUAAUAGUGGAAGACUUCGACACCACACUCUCAUCAAUAGACAGAUCAUGGAAACAGAAACUAAACAGAGACACAGUGAAACAACAUAAGCUGUGAACCAAAUGGAUUUAACAGAUAUCUAUAGAACAUUUCAUCUUAAAACAAAAGGAUACACCUUUUUCUCAGCAUCUCACUCUACCUUCUCCAAAAUUGACCACAUAAUUGGUCACAAAAUAGGCCUCGACAGAUACAAGAAGAUUGACAUAAUCACAUGCAUCCUAUCAGAUCACCAGGGACUAAAGCUUGUCUUCAAUAACAACAAAAAUGAUUAAAAGCUCACAAACACAUGGAAGUUGAACAAGGCUUUAUUACUUGAUGAUAACUUAGUCAAGGAAGGAAUAAAGAAAUUAAAGAGUCUUUAGAAUUUAAAGAAAAUAAAGCACAACAUACCCAAACUCAUGGGAAACAAUGAAAGAAGUGCUAUAGGAGAACUCAUAGCUCUCAGUGCCUCCCAAAAGAGACUGGAGAGAACAUAUUUUAGCAGCUUGACACCUAAAACCACUAGAACAAAAGGAAGAAAAUAUACACAAGAGGCACUCAAAUCAGGAAAUAAUCAAACUCAUGCACAAUUCAACCAAGUAGAAACAAAAAGAACUAUAUAAAGAAUCAAAAACAACCAGAAGCUGGUUCUUUGAGAAAAUCAACAAAAUCGAUAAAGCCUAUGCCAGACUAUCCAGAGGCCACAGAAAAGACUAUCAACAUUAACAAAAUCAUAAAUGAAAAGCGAGCAAAACAACAAAAACUGAGGAAAUUAAAAAAAAAGCAGAUGCUACUACCAAAGACUAGACUCAAAAAUACUGAAAAAAUCUGGAUGAAAUUGAAAAGUUUCAAAGAGAUACCAGGUACCAAAGUUAAAUCGCAAUCAGAUAAACCAUCUAAAGAGUCCCGAUAACUUCUAAAGGAAUAGAAGCAAUCAAUAAAAGUUUCCAAACCAAAAAGAGUCCAGGGCUAGAUGGGUUUAGUGCAGAAUUCUAUCAGACCUUCAUAGACGACCUCAUACCAAUAUUAUCCAAACUAUUCCACAAAAUUGAAACAGAUGGAGCACUACCCAAUUCCUUCUAUGAAGCCACAGUUAAGAUUAUUCUUAAACCACACAAAGACCCAACAAGGAAAGAGAACUUCAAACCAAUUUUCUUUAUGAAUAUUGAUGCAAAAAUACUCAAUAUAAUUCUUGCAAACCGAAUCCAAGAAUACACCAAAAUGAUCAUCCAUAAUGAUCAAGUAGGCUUCAAUCAAGGGAUGCAGGGAUUGUUCAAUAUAUAGAAAUCCUUCAACGUAAUCCACUGUAAAAACAAAGUCAAGGAAAAAAAUACAUGAUCAUCUCAUUAGAUUCAGAGAAAGCUUUUGACUAAAUUCAACACCCCUUCAUGUUAAAAGUCUAGGAAAGAUCAGAAAUUCAGGGACAUACCUAAACAUAGUAAAAUAAUAUACAUCAAACCAGUAGCCAACAUCAAACUAAAUGAAGAGAAACUUGAAGCAAUCCCACUAAAAUCAGAGACUAGACAAGACUGCCCACUCUUUUUCUACCUAUUCAAUAUAGUGCUUGAAGUCCUAGCCAGAGCAAUCAGAAAAAGAAAAAAGAAGAAAAAAGGUUAAAGGUAUACAAAUUGAACAGGAAAAAUCAAAAUAUCACUAUCACUAUUUGCAGAUGACAUGAUAGUAUACUUAAAUGACCUCUAAAAGUUGCACCAGAGAACUCUGAAACCAGAAAAACAAUUUAAGCAAACUGGCUGGAUACAAAAUUAACUCAAGCAAAUCGGUAGCCCUCCUCUACUCAAAGGAUAAACAGGCUGAGAAAGAAAUUAGGGAAAUUACACACUUCACAGCAGUCACAAAUAAUAUAAAAUACCUCAGUGUGACUCUAACCAAGCAAUUGAAAGAUCUGUAUGAUAAGAAUUUCAAGUCUCUGAAGGAAGAAAUUGAAGAUCUCAGAAGAUGGAAAGAUCUCCCAUGCUAAUAAACUGGCAGGAUUAACAUUGUAAAAAUGGUGAUCUUGCUAAAAGCAAUCUACAGAUUCCAAGUAAACCCCAUCAAAAUUCCAACUCAAUUCUUCAUGGAGUAGAAAAGGUAACUUAGGCAAUUUGCUAAUUCAUUUGGAAAAACAGAAAAACCAGGAGAGCACAAACUAUCCUCAACAACAACAACAACAACAACAGCAACAACAACAAUAAUAAUAAUAAUAAUAAUAAUAAUAAUAAUAAAUACUUCUGGGGAAACCACCAUCCCUGACCUCAAGCUUUAUUACAGAGCAAUAGCGAUAACAGAAAAAACUUGUAUUGCUAGAGAGACAGGCAGGUAAAUCAAUGAAAUAGAAUUAAAGACCCAGAAAUGUACCCACACACACAUAGUCAUUUGAUCUUUGACAAAGGAGCUAAAUCCAUUCAGUGGAAAAAAGAGCAUUUUCAACAAAUGGUGCUGAUUCAAUUGGUGGAGAGAUGUGUAAGAAUGCAAAUGGAUCCAUUCUUAUUGCUCUGUACAAAGCUUAAGUCCAAGUGGAUCAAGGACCUCCACAUAAAAUCAGACACACUCAAACUAAUAGACGAGAAAUUGGGAAAGAACCUCGAACACAUGGGCACUGGGAAAAAUUUCCUGAACAGAACACCAAUGGCAUAUGCUGUAAGAUCAAGAAAAAAAAUAUAGAAAUAAAAAAAAAUUGAAAAAAAAAAGAAUUGCAAAGCUUCUCUAAGGCAAAUGAUAAUGUCAUUAGGACAUAAUGGAUAAAUCUUGGGAAAAGAUCUUUACCAAUCCUACAUAUGAUAGAGGGCUAAUAUUCAAUAUAUACAAAGAACUCAAGAAGUUAAACUCCAGAGAACCAAAUGGCCCUAUUAAAAAUGGGGUACAGAGCUAAACAAAGAAUUUUCAACUGGGUUAUAUGGAAUGGCUGAGAAGCACCUAAAGAAAUGUUCAACAUCCUUAGUCAUCAGGAAAAUGUAAAUCACAAUAGCCCUGAGAUUCCACCUCUUAUCAGUCAGAAAGGCUAAGAUAAAAAAAAAAGUGAGGUGACAAUAGAUGCUGGUGAGAAUGUGGAGAAAGGAAUACUCCUCCAUUCCUGGUGGGAUUGCAAGUUGGUACCCCUCAGUGUAGGUGAAUAUCAGGGUGGGGAGGGAAGGAGAGACUGGUGGUUUGGGAGCGGGAACACCUUC
Non-coding RNA from Rattus norvegicus (Norway rat), 13911 nucleotides. The record is from RefSeq and is a predicted model, not a curated record. NCBI's taxonomy places the organism in Eukaryota, Metazoa, Chordata, Mammalia, Rodentia, Muridae.